This 261-nucleotide ribosomal RNA is filed under the name Escherichia coli. RNAcentral's name for it is "partial 23S ribosomal RNA". It matches the Rfam family "Bacterial large subunit ribosomal RNA", at positions 2104 to 2364 of the family's 2925-position model. Lineage: Bacteria; Pseudomonadati; Pseudomonadota; Gammaproteobacteria; Enterobacterales; Enterobacteriaceae. The record is from RNAcentral.
CUAUAGCUUGACACUGAACAUUGAGCCUUGAUGUGUAGGAUAGGUGGGAGGCUUUGAAGUGUGGACGCCAGUCUGCAUGGAGCCGACCUUGAAAUACCACCCUUUAAUGUUUGAUGUUCUAACGUUGGCCCGUUAUCCGGGUUGCGGACAGUGUCUGGUGGGUAGUUUGACUGGGGCGGUCUCCUCCUAAAGAGUAACGGAGGAGCACGAAGGUUGGCUAAUCCUGGUCGGACAUCAGGAGGUUAGUGCAAUGGCAUAAGC